UGCAACUUAAGGACUUGGGUUUAACUUGACCUAACUGAGUCAUUUUGGUGCGUAACCUAGGGACUCUCAAGUUAAACUUAACGUAACAUUAACUGAUACCUUGCCUUAACCUACCAUCACCAAGUACAUGUAAUGCAUGGUAAUGUUGUGAUAUAUAUAGCUAAAGUAGAAUAUAACCGUAAUUAUGAAAUAGAGUACUCCAAGAUGUUAGAAUAGGCAACGUUAAGUAAAAAAAAAGGUAAAGUGGGUGCAUUCGCAGUGGCUGCGCGUGGCUGCGGCACUCAUCUCCAUCCCAUUAGCCCUUGGAGCCUGUGGUGGGUAAGAACCCGUUAUCUCGGGACACAUGGCUGCAGGGAAUGACAUCCGGGUUUCCACAGUUUACCUUCCCCAGGUUUCCCCAGGUACCCGUUUAUCGACCAACCCGAAAGGGAUGGAUGAACAGCUGGGUGGGCUGUACGCCGACUGCCCAGGCCGGGAUCGAACCCGAAAACUGGGCCCGCAGAUUUGUAGCCAGGCAUGCUGACCACUGCACCACGGAGGCACUACAUUAUUGGGAAACUUCCAUAGAUGAUGGUUUUCCUUUUGGGGAGCCUUUAAAAAAAAGUUUUUUUUUUAUUUACCAUAGACUUUUUGAGUCUUGCCAAAUUUGCCCUUUUUGGCUUCCCACACCCUAAAACCUCACUUUCCUGCCAGGUCCCCAAGUUUGCUGGUGCUGGCAAAAACAGAAUCAAUGAAGCAUGGCAGACGCAGAAGCGGCACAAUAAGGCGAAAGGAAGAGCGUAUCCUGCUACUGUAUGGGCUGGAUCAACCUCAACUUGUAACUGGUGGUAGCUACUCCAUCCAUUAAUUCUUUCCCUCUGUUGAGACAACUUAAAAGUACUAAACCACUACUCUAACUCUCCUAUUUUUCCCUGACUUUUGAUCACAGUCUCUUCUCAAUUAAUUAUGUCUUACCAUAAAAGAUACAGGCAGAUACAACGUGAGCUCAAGGAACUGUUGGUUAGUAGUAGUGAAGAGGAAGCUGACUGGGUUCAUCAAAACACCAAAAUUCCCAAACUUUACCAUAAUAACUCUGACCCAUCUUUAAGCUUUUCUGACCAGGACAGUUGUGAAAGUACAUCCUUAUCCCCCUUGAUAGUAACUGCACCAGAAGAAUUAAGCACAGAUGAUGAGAGUCACCACCAUAUAUCUGAUUUGGCACUUGAAGAAGGAUUAGCUUUAUGGGCAUCAAAAAAUAACAUUACACGCCAGGCAGCAAA
This is a long non-coding RNA of Eriocheir sinensis (Chinese mitten crab), 1259 nucleotides long. RefSeq lists it as uncharacterized. The transcript is spliced from 3 exons. The record is from RefSeq and is a predicted model, not a curated record. NCBI's taxonomy places the organism in Eukaryota, Metazoa, Arthropoda, Malacostraca, Decapoda, Varunidae.